UUACCCAGGCUUGACAUGUUGGUAGUAGGGAUCCGAAAGGUGACCGACCCUUCGGGGAGCCUUCACAGGUGCUGCAUGGCUGUCGUCAGCUCGUGUCGUGAGAUGUCCGGUUAAGUCCGGUAACGAGCGCAACCCUUCGCUGUGUGUUAUAUGUGUCACACGGGACUGCCGGUAUCAAGCCGGAGGAAGGUGGGGAUGACGUCAAGUCAGCAUGGCCUUUAUGUCUGGGGCUACACACACGCUACAAUGGCCAGUACAAUAGGUUGCAAGACCGCGAGGUGGAGCCAAUCCUUAAAGCUGGUCUCAGUUCGGAUUGCAGGCUGCAACUCGCCUGCAUGAAGUCGGAGUUGCUAGUAACCGCGCGUCAGCUAUAGUGCGGUGAAUACGUUCCCGGGCCUU
RNAcentral lists this ribosomal RNA (399 nucleotides) under uncultured Anaerolineaceae bacterium. RNAcentral's name for it is "bacterial SSU rRNA". It matches the Rfam family "Bacterial small subunit ribosomal RNA", at positions 971 to 1382 of the family's 1533-position model. The record is from RNAcentral. Lineage: Bacteria; Bacillati; Chloroflexota; Anaerolineae; Anaerolineales; Anaerolineaceae.